Molecule: ribosomal RNA, 246 nt
Filed under: uncultured bacterium
Lineage: Bacteria
Description: partial small subunit ribosomal RNA
Rfam family: Bacterial small subunit ribosomal RNA
Source: RNAcentral
AGAAUCAACGCUGGCGGCGUGCCUAACACAUGCAAGUCGAACGAGAAAGUGGAGCAAUCCAUGAGUAAAGUGGCGCACGGGUGAGUAACACGUGACUAACCUACCCGUUGAGUGGGGGAUAACCUAGAGAAAUCUGGGCUAAUACCGCAUAAUACCUUCGGGUCAAAGGAGCAAUUCGCUUAAGGAGGGGGUCGCGGCCGAUUAGUUAGUUGGCGGGGUAAUGGCCCACCAAGACUGUGAUCGGUA